This 229-nucleotide non-coding RNA is filed under the name Sphingomonas panacis. Lineage: Bacteria; Pseudomonadati; Pseudomonadota; Alphaproteobacteria; Sphingomonadales; Sphingomonadaceae. The record is from RNAcentral.
UCGCCUCAUGAUCGCGCUGGUGCCCCGCGAGGGGCUUAAAAGGGAACGCGGUACGGGAUUUUGGUCCCUAAGCCGAGGCUGUCCCUGCAACUGUAAGCGGCGAGCGCGAUGCACAUCGCGUCUGAUCCUUCGGGACGGGCGCAGCCACUGGGUCGAACAGACUUGGGAAGGUGGUGCAUCGUGGCGUUGACCCGUGAGCCAGGAGACCUGCCGGCGUGGGUCGCUCUUG